Molecule: long non-coding RNA, 4559 nt
Filed under: Homo sapiens (human)
Lineage: Eukaryota; Metazoa; Chordata; Mammalia; Primates; Hominidae
Description: KHDC1 antisense RNA 1, transcript variant 1 (KHDC1-AS1)
Source: RNAcentral
AAGCAACCCAGAGCCCUCCUCCCGCCUGCUCUGUGUAGGAGACAGCCUGCGGAGCCCACUGCCGGCGCGCAGAGAGCCCAGCAGCUCUUGAGUCCAGGAAGCAAGGGUGGGAGGAGGGACGAGCCAGUGGCAAUGACCCAGACCCGGACGACCCCCAUUGCUGAGCCAGCGGAGCUGCUUGGAGGCAGAGGUUGCAGUGAGCUGAGAUUUUGCGACUACACUCCAACCUGGGCAACAGAGCGGGACUCCAUUCCAAAAAAAUAAGAAAAACAGAAAAAUAAUAAUUACAUCUGCAAAGACCUUAUUUCCAGCAGGCAAGAAGAAUCUGUUGGAUGAUUACAACAUUGCUGGAUUGAUAGCAGCCUCACCUGCCAGGCUCAAACUCCAGAUCCAAAGUCCACAAAUAUAUCAUAAAUCUGAAGAGGAACUGGGAGAAGCUUCUGCUGGCAGCUCAUGCCAUUGUUGCCAUUGAAAACCCUGCUGAUGUGUCAUAUCCUGCAGGAAUACUAGCUAGUGGGCUGUGCUGAAGUUUGCUGCUGCUGCUGGAGCCACAUGUAUUGCUGGUCACUUCACUUCUGGAACCUUUGCUAACCAGAUCCAAUCAUCUUCUGCCACCCACAUCUUCUGGUGGUUACUGAUUCUAGGGCUAACUAUCAGCCUCUCUCAGGGGCUUCUUAUGGUAACCUACCUACCUACCACUGCUGUAUGUAACAGAUUCUCCUCUGAGCUAUGUGGAUAUUGUCAUCCCAUGCAACAACAAGGAAGCUCAAUCACUGAGUCUAAUGUAGUGGAUGCUGGCCCAGGAAGCUCUGUGCAUGUGUUGCACCAUCUCCCAUGAUCAUGCCUGAUCUCUACUUCUAUAGAGAUCCUGAAGAGAUUGAAAAGGAAGAGUAGGCUGCAGCUGAAAAAGGAGGAAUUUCAAAGUGAAUGGACUGCUGUAGUGCAAGUUUACUGCUACUCAAUCUGAGGUUGCAGACUGGUUUAAAGACAUGCAGGUGCCCUCUGUGCCUAUUCAGCAGUUCCCUACUGAAGAUUGGAGCACUUAGCCUACCAUGAAUGACUGGUCUGCAACUUCCACUGCUCAGACCACUGAAUGGGUAAGAAUAACCACUGAGUGGCCUUAAGCUGUUCUUCCACAAGCUCUUAAACAAGAUGGAAAUAACGCUGAUGGAAAUAAACAACAGUUUCCAAGAAAACACGAACAGCUGAAGUGGCAAUGUUUAAGUAACAUCUGGUAGACUUUAACAUGAAUGUUAUUAAGCAGGAAAUUAUGAUCUUUUAAGUUGGAACAUGUAAUGUUAAUCCUUUUGCACCAAAAUAUCUCUUUAAGUCUAAAUUAUCCACUUUUUUUUUUAAUUCUUCGUAGAGAUAGAGGUUUCGCUUUGUUGCCCAGGCUGUUCUUGACUUCCUAACUUCAAGCAAUCCUUCUGCCUCAGCCUCCCAGAGUGCUGGGAUUAUAGGCAUUUGCCACCGUGCCUGGUGUACCCAGUUUCUGUUAUCAACAGAAUGCAGUGGUGUAUGGUUGCUAAAGGGUCCCAAGAUCAGGACCUACGUUAAGGUGGAUUUUGAAUUAUUUAAAAUUCUGAUUUUGUUUUAUUUUUAAUUAAUCUUUGGGGGAAGGAUGGGAGGGGGGUGAGGGUUGAAGAAGUAAACAUUGUACCUAUUGGAUACAAUGUUUAAUAUUUGUGUGAUGGGCACACUGGAAGCCCAAACCUCACUAUUACACAAUACAUUCAUGUAACAAGCCUGCACAUGCACCUCCUGAAUCUAUUUUUAAAAAUUUAAUUCUCUAGCACAGACUCCCUUUUUUUGGUAAGAUGGCGGGGUACGACUUAACUACUCGCAUCACGCACCUUUUGGAUCGGCAUCUAGUCUUUCCGCUCCUUGAGUUUCUCUCUGUAAAGGAGAUAUAUAAAGAAAAGGAAUUAUUACAAGGUAAAUUGGACCUUCUUAGUGAUGCCAACAUGGUAGACUUUGCUAUGGAUGCAUACAAAAACCUUUAUUCUGAUGAUAUUCCUCAUGCUUUGAAAGAGAAUAGAACCACAGUUGUUGCACAACUGAAACAGCUUCAGGCAGAAACAGAACUAAUUGUGAAAAUGUUUGAAGAUCCAGAAACGACAAGGCAAAUGCGGUCAACCAGGGAUGGUAGGAUGCUCUUUGACUACCUGGCGGACAAGCAUGGUUUUAGGCAGGAGUAUUUAGAUACAUUCUACACAUAUGCAAAAUUCCAGUAUGAAUGUGGGAAUUACUCAGGAGCAGCAGAAUAUCUUUAUUUUUUCAGAGUGUUGGUUCCAGCAACAGACAGAAAUGCUGUAAGUUCACUCUGGGGAAAGCUGGCCUCUGAAAUCUUAAAGCAGAAUUGGGAUGCAGACAUGGAAGACCUUACAUGGUUAAAAGAGACCAUAGAUAAUAAUUCUGUGAGUUCUCCACUCCAGUCUCUUCAGCAGAGAGCAUGGCUCGUUCACUGGUCUCUGUUUUCUUCAAUCACCCCAAAGGUUGUGAUAAUAUUGUUGAUCUCUUCCUUUACCAGCCACAGCAUCUUAAUGUGUCCACACAUUCUUCACUAUUUGACUACAGCAGUCAUAGCAAACAAGGAUGUUCGAAAACGUUGGCAGGUGCUAAAAGAUCUAGGUAAAGUUACUCAACAGGAGUCUUACACAUAUAAAGACCCAAUUACAGAAUUUGUUGAAUGCUUAUAGAUUAACUUUGACUUAGAUGGGGCUAAGAAAAAGCUGAGAGAAUGUGAAUCAGUGCUUGUGAACGACUUCUUGGUGGCUUGUCUUAAGGAUUUCAUUGACAAUGCCCAUCUCUUCAUAUUUGAGACUUUCUGUCACAUCCACCAGUGUAUCAGCAUUAACAUGUUGGCAGACAAAUUGAACAUGACUCCAGAUGAAACUGAAAGGUGGAUUGUAAAUGUGAUUAGAAAUGCAAGACUGGAUGCCAAGAUUGAUUCUAAAUUAGGUCAUGUGGUUAUGGUAACAAUGUACUCUCACCCUAUCAGCAAGUGAUUGAAAAGACCAAAAGCCUUUCUUUUAGAAGCUAGAUUUUGGCCAUGAAUAUUGAGAAGAAACUUAAUGACAAUAGCAGGUCAGAGGCUCCUAACUGGGCAACUCAAGAUUCUGGCUUCUACUGAAGAAACAUAAGGAAAAGAUUUUAAAAAAACUCUAAAAGAAAGAUGAAAUAAUAAAACUAUUAUAUAAAGGGUGACUUACAUUUUGGAAACAACAUAUUGAGUGUAAAUUGUGAAGAAUUGGAAUAAAAUUGACUGAUUCAAAAAAAUUUAAUUCACAAAAAAAUUUUAAUCCUUUUAAGCUAAUUAUAGAUUCACAUGUAGUUGUAAGAAGUUACAAAGAGGCUAGGUGCAGUAGCUGACGCCCAUGAUCCCCGCACUUUGGGAGGCCGAGGCAGGCAGAUCUCUUGAGGCCAGGAGUUUGAGACUAGCCUGGCCAACAUGGCAAAACCCCAUCUCUACAAAAAAUUAGCAAAGCAUGGUGGCACAUGCCUGUAAUUACAGCUACUUGGGAGGCUGAGGCAUGAGAAUCACUUGACCUGGGAUUACAAGUGUAAUCCCAGCCAUAGGCUGGGUGCAGUGGCUCACACCUGUAAUCCCAGCACUUUGGGAGGCCAAGGUACGGGUGGAUCACCUGAGGUCAAGAGUUCAAGACCAGCCUGGCCAACAUGGUGAAACCCCGUCUCUACAAAAACACAAAAAUUAGCCGGGCAUGAUGGUGCGCACCUGUAAUCCCAGCUACUCAGGAGGCUGAGGCAGGAGAAUCGCAUGAACCCAGGAGGCAGAUGUUGCAGUGAGCCAAGAUCACGCCAUUGCACUCCAGCCUGGGCAACAGAGUGAGACUCCACCUCAAAAAAAAAAAAACAAAAAAAAACCACCAGCCAUUUGGGAAGCCAAGGCAGGAUUGCUUGAGACCAACCAGAAGUUCAAGGUUGCCUGGGCAACAGAGCAAGACUGUCUCGAGACAAAACAAAAAGUCAGCAUCUUCUGCCCACUUUUACUUUAACAUACAUUUAUGGAUCUAUUGUCUCUUUCCCUGUUCUAAAACUUUAAAUUUCACAAGAAUGAAGAUUUUGCUGUCUUGUUUCCUGCUGUGUCCCCAGCAUAAACAGCAUAAAGAAGUGCCAUAAGAUAGAAAUUUUUGUUUUCUGUUCACCAGUAUAUCCACAGCACCUAGAACAGCAUCUGCUUUAGACUUAUUAGAUGAAGACUUAAAAAAAAAAGGAACAGCACUUCUGCACAUAUUUAGCACUUGAUACAUAUUUGUGGAAUAAUUUCUAUCAUAACUAGCAGCUACUUCCUAAUUUGAUAUGUAGCAUCCCGUAUUAACAGGACUUUUGUGAAUGGAGAGGACAUCUAUUUAUUCUUUGUUAUGUGCCAAAUAUAUUUGUAUUAAUCAUAACUCUUAAUAUUCCUUUAAAAUUAAAUAAUUGUUUCCACAGCUCUUAAAAUAGAAUUUAGGAACCUAGCAACAUGCCACUCAUCCAUUAACAGUGAUAAAUUAUUUAAUUUUAUAAACUUUUCAUUAAAGUAACUGAUAUAGUUUGGA